AGUGAACGCUGGCGGUAGGCCUAGCACAUGCAAGUCGAACGGCAGCACAGGAGAGCUUGCUCUCUAGGUGGCGAGUGGCGGACGGGUGAGGAAUACAUCGGAAUCUGCCCAGUCGUGGGGGAUAACGUAGGGAAACUUACGCUAAUACCGCAUACGACCUUCGGGUGAAAGAGGGGGAUCGCAAGACCUCUCGCGAUUGGAUGAGCCGAUGUCGGAUUAGCUAGUUAGCGGGGUAAUGGCCCACCAAGGCGACGAUCCGUAGCUGGUCUGAGAGGAUGAUCAGCCACACUGGAACUGAGACACGGUCCAGACUCCUACGGGAGGUAGCAGUGGGGAAUAUUGGACAAUGGGCGCAAGCCUGAUCCAGCCAUACCGCGUGGGUGAAGAAGGCCUUCGGGUUGUAAAGCCCUUUUGUUGGGAAAGAAAUCUUUCAGGCUAAUACCCUGGGAGGAUGACGGUACCCAAAGAAUAAGCACCGGCUAACUUCGUG
Molecule: ribosomal RNA, 490 nt
Filed under: uncultured bacterium
Lineage: Bacteria
Description: partial 16S ribosomal RNA
Rfam family: Bacterial small subunit ribosomal RNA
Source: RNAcentral